CCUACGGGUGGCUGCAGUGGGGAAUAUUGGACAAUGGGGGCAACCCUGAUCCAGCCAUGCCGCGUGUGUGAAGAAGGCCCUCGGGUUGUAAAGCACUUUCAGUGAGGAAGAACGCCUGGUGGUUAAUACCCAUCAGGAAAGACAUCACUCACAGAAGAAGCACCGGCUAACUCCGUGCCAGCAGCCGCGGUAAUACGGAGGGUGCGAGCGUUAAUCGGAAUUACUGGGCGUAAAGCGCGCGUAGGUGGCUUGAUAAGCCGGUUGUGAAAGCCCCGGGCUCAACCUGGGAACGGCAUCCGGAACUGUCAAGCUAGAGUGCAGGAGAGGAAGGUAGAAUUCCCGGUGUAGCGGUGAAAUGCGUAGAGAUCGGGAGGAAUACCAGUGGCGAAGGCGGCCUUCUGGACUGAUACUGACACUGAGGUGCGAAAGCGUGGGUAGCAAACAGGAUUAGAUACCCGUGUAGUC
Molecule: ribosomal RNA, 465 nt
Filed under: Vreelandella stevensii
Lineage: Bacteria; Pseudomonadati; Pseudomonadota; Gammaproteobacteria; Oceanospirillales; Halomonadaceae
Description: partial 16S ribosomal RNA
Rfam family: Bacterial small subunit ribosomal RNA
Source: RNAcentral